Molecule: ribosomal RNA, 379 nt
Filed under: uncultured bacterium
Lineage: Bacteria
Description: bacterial SSU rRNA
Rfam family: Bacterial small subunit ribosomal RNA
Source: RNAcentral
AUUGAACGCUGGCGGCAUGCCUUACACAUGCAAGUCGAACGGUAGAGUAGCAAUACUCGAGAGUGGCGAACGGGUGAGUAAUAUAUCGGAACGUGCCCAGUCGUGGGGGAUAACGUAGAGAAAUUUACGCUAAUACCGCAUACGAUCUACGGAUGAAAGCGGGGAUUCGCAAGAACCUCGCGCGAUUGGAGCGGCUGAUAUCAGAUUAGGUUGUUGGUGAGGUAAAAGCUCACCAAGCCGACGAUCUGUAGCUGGUUUGAGAGAACGACCAGCCACACUGGGACUGAGACACGGCCCAGACUCCUACGGGAGGCAGCAGUGGGGAAUUUUGGACAAUGGGCGAAAGCCUGAUCCAGCAAUGCCGCGUGCAGGAAGAAGG